This is a non-coding RNA of Heterocephalus glaber (naked mole-rat), 2523 nucleotides long. Lineage: Eukaryota; Metazoa; Chordata; Mammalia; Rodentia; Bathyergidae. The record is from RefSeq and is a predicted model, not a curated record.
GUAGGUAGUCUUGUAACUCAGGAAGGAAACCCAUCAUGUUUUGAUGCACUCGAUAUGCCUGUUUAUAACUAGCUGAGUCAACAAGCUAAAUUUUUCUUCAUGGUGUUGGAAUAUUAAGGUCACGGUGUGCUGUCAAACAGAGAUUUGGAAAUCCCUUCUAAAAAUGAAGCUGGGAUAUGGUGAAGCACACCUCUGACUCCUUUAUAAAAUCAAUUUUGAAUUGGUUGUCUUAUUCCACUCCCUUGGCUGUGAGACAAGGAAAGAAAGAGAAGGCCACUGCUGAAGAGCAUCUUGAGACUACAGUGCUGUAUGAAGCCCAACUUUGGACAGAGGGAUGGAAUUUGGCAGAGUCUAAGGACUCAUGCCUCAGGAUACCAUGGUUCCUGACUUUUGGCUCUCUCUCUGUUACCCUGAAUGUCUCAACUUUACCUCUCAGAUAAGUGGCCCAAGCAUGUCCUUCCAUUGAUAAUCUAUAUGGAACCAGCAAGCUUAUGAGAAACAAAGCACAUGAUACCCAGUGCAGCAAGUCUAGCCCUCUUUCAGCACUGCUCCUAUAAAGUAUUAUCUUCCUCUGGCACAGUACUUAUCCAUCUUGUUUGUGUCUCUUAUCUUUCAUUAAAAAGUGCACUGGGGUCACUAUUAGCUGCAGUAAUGGUUUCUGUAUGCUGAAACCUACAGAUAUGUACUUUACUAUGUGGUAGCAGGGUGUGGUGGACUCACUUAUCAAACGAAGAAAUACUCACCAAAAUUGUAAAACUGCAAAGCUAAUCAUCUAGCUUUAAAAUGAUUAUGUUAUUGGGCAAAAUUAAUCAAGCAAAUGAUUGGAAUUAGUUUAACCAAAUGAAUUAAUUUUUAUUCCUCUACAAAUAUUUGUAAGGCAAACCACAAGUUUCUUCUUUACUUUUUGAAGCUGCAGUUUCCCCAUUUAGAGGCUACAGAAGCUGGCUGUUUAUAAGUUAAUAUUUCCACAACUUGAUAGACUUUCUGCCUGAAAAUGGUAGACUACUCUGUCUUUCCGCAGUCAAAUCUAUAAUAGCUCAUUAUAUACUGAAAAAGAGCUCACUAGGACCUGAGCAAUGGCACAAUCCCACAUCUUCAAGUGGUAUUGAGAGAUGGAGUAUUCUCUUGGUUCCUUAAGGCUUAAUUUAUGUGAACAUAAUUGAAGACACUCAUACAAGAGAAGAAUGAAAGAAUAUAUAUUAAACGGGACUUGCAAGCUUCUACUUUUUAAAAUUAUAAAAAAGAAAAUUUCCAUAAGCCACUCUCUCUUUUAUUAGGUAACACUGGUUUACAUAUAAAAUUGUAUAUUUAAAAGCUAAGUAAAUAUUUAUUUUGGAUAAUGUUAUCAGAUGUCAGAAGAGAUCCCAUAUCUAACAAAAUCCAUAUUCAAAUUUGAAUUGAAGGAGUAUCCAUCUUUUAGAAGAAUAUUAAAAAUAUUAUUUUUUCCUUAGUCAGGAUAAUUAACCAUAAAAUGAAUUUGUAUUUAAGAAUAGCCAGUCAUUAUUAUCCAGAAUAAUGUAUCUACUAAAUAUUUAAUAAAUGUUCCAGCGAUAUAAACAUGUUAAGAUUAAAGAAUAAAAUAAUUUACAAAAUAUGCCUUACCUAAAGUCUUAACAGGGUCAGAGUAGUCAGAGUCAGUAAAUUGUCCCAUGACAUUUGUGGCUCUAAAUUUAAACCUAUAAGAUCAAAUAAAAGAAAUGUCAACAAUUUGCAAAUCACAUUACUUUUUUCUACAAAUAAUUUAACAAACAGUUAUGAAAAUUUUAUUCAAAAAAUGAAUUUAGGAGAUGUAAAUUUUGAAAUUAAACCACAAUCAGGACAAAUUUAUAUUAUAUUUGCAUGAAAUGAAUAAAUUCAUUGUCUUGCUCUGGGCAUAAUGAAUUUAACAGGUCAGUGACUAAAAAAUUUGGUCACACUCAUAAACAGUCAUCAGUUGAAGCAAAUGCAGUAAUCAUCUCUCUCAUAGAUUUAUUUGGAUGGAAUGAUUACAUAUCUGUGAAAAUGUCCAAUACUAAUAUACUUAACAAAUACAAAGCAUAAUAAUUGUUAUUACUUCAACCAUCUUUAGAAGUGCUAGUGAAUUAGAUUACGAUGAUCAUAUGGAACUUGUCUCAUUUACAUGAAAACAAACAACUUAUCUUCUUUCUGUGUGUACACAGUCAUAUUUGCCCAUUUUAUGCAUUUAUAAUAUUUGAAAUAAAAAAUACACAAAAGAAUGAAGCUUAAAAAUAAAUGAGUGAUUCUAAGUAUCCUAAAGGACUAAUGAACUUUGUCUACAGGAAUAAAAAGAAUCAAAAUAUGCUCAGUACUUCUACACAUGCCCUAAGAUGAAUGUAAUAUCAUAUACUCCAGACUUUUAUGAAUAAAAAUAUUCAAGAUCAGUUUCAUCUCCAAAAAACCACCAAAAUGUAAAGACAUCAGGGCAUUACAAAUUUAAUCUAUAAAUUAUAAUACAUGAUUUAUCAUUAUCAUUAUCUCUAACAUUAUCAAGUUCUUGUUAUUGUAUUUGCUAUAGAAAGAGUC